This 301-nucleotide unclassified non-coding RNA is filed under the name Funneliformis mosseae. RNAcentral describes it as "partial contains 5.8S ribosomal RNA and internal transcribed spacer 2". The stretch from base 1 to 71 matches the Rfam family "5.8S ribosomal RNA", at positions 84 to 154 of the family's 154-position model. The record is from RNAcentral. Lineage: Eukaryota; Fungi; Glomeromycota; Glomeromycetes; Glomerales; Glomeraceae.
GUGAAUCAUCAAAUCUUUGAACGCAAAUUGCACUCCCUGGUAUUCCGGGGAGUAUGCCUGUUUGAGGGUCGGUAUAAGAAAAAUCGAAGCAGCUCUCUUUUUUUUGAGGGUGAUCGCGUCGUAAUUGAGCCGUCUUUCUAAUGUUAAUUCAUGUCAAAGUUGCUUAAAAUUCAUCCAUCCUGUACGAUUAAAUCGUAUUUAAUAUCAAUUUUGAUUAAGAACGCGCGAUGACGUACCAUCUCAUGUAUUACGUUUGACCUGGGUCAUCAGGUUCAUUCGUAUACGAUACUCAAACUUUUUU